Molecule: transfer RNA, 68 nt
Filed under: Anomaloglossus rufulus
Lineage: Eukaryota; Metazoa; Chordata; Amphibia; Anura; Aromobatidae
Description: tRNA-Phe
Rfam family: tRNA
About the family: Transfer RNA (tRNA) molecules are approximately 80 nucleotides in length. Their secondary structure includes four short double-helical elements and three loops (D, anti-codon, and T loops). Further hydrogen bonds mediate the characteristic L-shaped molecular structure. tRNAs have two regions of fundamental functional importance: the anti-codon, which is responsible for specific mRNA codon recognition, and the 3' end, to which the tRNAs corresponding amino acid is attached (by aminoacyl-tRNA synthetases). tRNAs cope with the degeneracy of the genetic code in two manners: having more than one tRNA (with a specific anti-codon) for a particular amino acid; and 'wobble' base-pairing, i.e. permitting non-standard base-pairing at the 3rd anti-codon position.
Source: RNAcentral
GUUUAGAUAGCUUACUUAAAGCAUAGCACUGAAAAUGCUAAGAUGGGCUUUAAAAAGUCCUCCAAACA